This 270-nucleotide ribosomal RNA is filed under the name uncultured Methanosaeta sp. Its description in RNAcentral is "partial 16S ribosomal RNA". It matches the Rfam family "Archaeal small subunit ribosomal RNA", at positions 1066 to 1338 of the family's 1478-position model. Lineage: Archaea; Methanobacteriati; Methanobacteriota; Methanomicrobia; Methanotrichales; Methanotrichaceae. The record is from RNAcentral.
GCCAGCGUACUCUCUGGAGUGGACGGUACACUGUGGGACCGCCGCUGCUAAAGCGGAGGAAGGAAUGGGCAACGGUAGGUCAGUAUGCCCGAAUAUCCCGGGCUACACGCGAGCUACAAUGGUUGGUACAAUGGGUAUCUACCCGAAAGGGGACGGGAAUCUCCUAAAACCAAUCUUAGUUCGGAUUGAGGGCUGCAACUCGCCCUCAUGAAGCUGGAAUCCGUAGUAAUCGCGUUUCAACAGAACGCGGUGAAUACGUCCCUGCUCCUU